Molecule: long non-coding RNA, 113 nt
Organism: Thalassophryne amazonica
Lineage: Eukaryota; Metazoa; Chordata; Actinopteri; Batrachoidiformes; Batrachoididae
Exons: 3
Source: RefSeq, a predicted model, not a curated record
UGCUCUAAUCUCUUUUGUGAACGUUGAUCAAAGUUCACUCUAUGAUCCUCGAAUAUGUUUUUUUGAAGAGCUCCAGAAGCACAAAGGUCGACAGUAAACCAGAAGAAGAAGAA